Molecule: non-coding RNA, 601 nt
Organism: Physcomitrium patens
Lineage: Eukaryota; Viridiplantae; Streptophyta; Bryopsida; Funariales; Funariaceae
Source: RefSeq, a predicted model, not a curated record
GUUGUGUUCUCUCGAUAGACAUCUGUUGUUGGGUCUCACCUGGUUGGAAGUGAUCGUACUAAUUUGGGCAGCGCUCAGAGUGUGGAAGCGUGAUUUCGCAAGGGCUCGCAGUCGACGAUCUACGGACUAGAGACUACUUUUGGCUUAGGGGGUUCUCCAACAGUAUUUUUUUUUCCAUGGAUGAAUCAGAUGUGGAAAUUACGUCGCUUGGUCCUAUUCCCCCGAUGGAUACCGCGACCGAAGUGAUGAAAGCCUCCAAGAGGAGAAUUUGUGAGCACGUGGUGGUGAUGCGAUUGAAGGAGGAUGUUGACAGGCAACAAGAGGCUGAAAUGCUUGAUGUGCUGUGGUCGUUGCAGUUCCACUUUGAUAGUAUUGUCUUUCUCUCUACAGGUGAAAUACUUUUAACGGUUGAUAAAUUUACAACAGCCUCAUGAGUUAAGUCCUUCCAUCUUGGUUAGGUGUGAAGAUUUAAUCUGCAGUGGUCUAUACUGCAAAAAAGUUCUCAUUUGGGAAUUCCUUGUCUGAGAAUUGGAUUUUGAAGCGUUUUCAAACUUGCAAGGAGGCUUAUUAAAGGGAAAGAGGGUUUGACCCAUGCACUUCA